Long non-coding RNA from Hemicordylus capensis (graceful crag lizard), 847 nucleotides. RefSeq lists it as uncharacterized. The transcript is spliced from 3 exons. NCBI's taxonomy places the organism in Eukaryota, Metazoa, Chordata, Lepidosauria, Squamata, Cordylidae. The record is from RefSeq and is a predicted model, not a curated record.
UAGUUGCUUCCUGGGGGUAAAUCUCAGGGAGGUGCUGGGAGCGGCUUGUGUGCAUUUUGGAGGAUGACAAAGGAAAGAGCUUAAUGGGGAAGAAGGAAUGCAAAAUGCAGUUUGUGAGCAUCCCCGAAGGAGGUGCAAGGAAGAAGUUCUCCCCUUCUCUUCUCCCACUUGUCCUCCUGGCUGCAAGACGGAGCAAUUGGGAGUCCUGGAGACUUGGAUUCCCAAGCUGUCGUUCCCUGUGGCGAUGCAGAGCUUCCAGAUGCAGCUGUCCUGGUUUGGAGAAACAAAGGGACGUAUUUAAGUCAAAUACUGAAGAGCAUCCUCUAAAUUCAAGACUGCUGCUGCAUCUUAUUUCGGACCAUUGAAGAGUUGAGAUAGUUGAGCGAGUCUAUGAGAACUUUAGUUCAACAGCACCAUCUUGUGGCAUGUUCUGGUCAACCUCUUUUGGGGGUUUGUUUAUUAUGCUACACAUAUGUUGGUCUUGAAGCCAGAACCCUAACUCCUCCUCCUCCUCCUCUGUGGCUUACAUAAGACGAUGAAUAAACACCCAUUUUUCCUGAAGAUCAUUGGAAUUUCCAGUUCCAGCUUUCUUGGGAAGCAACACAAAUGAUGUAGAAUUUGGACCAUUUAGAAUCAGCUGGUGAAGUUAUCCAGAGUCACAAAGGGACUGAGUUUGAGUGGGUGUUGGGUUUUUGUUUUGGUAAAUAUCUACUUAAAAACAAAAACAAAAAAUCUGUGGUUUUACGUAACCUGGUUGGUUUUUUCUCAAAGUGUUUGCAGAUAUUCUGUUUUAGCUGCAUGCAUCUCACUAAAAUCCUCCAAGACAAGUUGUUCUGAUUAAAUCAUU